GCACCCGUAGCUCAGUUGGUUAGAGUGCAUGCUUGACAUGCAUGAGGUCGCUGGUUCGAAUCCAGCCGGGUGCA
This 74-nucleotide transfer RNA is filed under the name Planctomycetaceae bacterium. Its description in RNAcentral is "tRNA-Val". It matches the Rfam family "tRNA". Rfam says of the family: Transfer RNA (tRNA) molecules are approximately 80 nucleotides in length. Their secondary structure includes four short double-helical elements and three loops (D, anti-codon, and T loops). Lineage: Bacteria; Pseudomonadati; Planctomycetota; Planctomycetia; Planctomycetales; Planctomycetaceae. The record is from RNAcentral.